Molecule: long non-coding RNA, 1705 nt
Organism: Carcharodon carcharias (great white shark)
Lineage: Eukaryota; Metazoa; Chordata; Chondrichthyes; Lamniformes; Lamnidae
Exons: 2
Source: RefSeq, a predicted model, not a curated record
AGUGCAGCAAAGAAAUGGAGUCAGUGCGGACUGGGAGGUUUCAUAAACAAGACCCGAAUUGGAAACUCCCGGUCCCUGUUUGCAUCAAACCGACAGCAGCUGCGGCCUCUUCCGAUCUCAGACCCGGGGUAAGGGCCGCCCUCUGACAGUAAUGCCUCUUGUUCACUUUCUGCAGGUGAUUACACCGUGAUUCUCAGACAGGAAACUCAAACCAAACAUCACAUCAAAACCUGACUGAAUCACUCCAUCCAUCAGGACCUGGACAUUAUCGGCCUCUGAGUGGUAAUAAAAGGGGAGCAUUUGCAAUUGGGAAGCUGAAACAAAACAACAGAUUAGGAUUUGAAAGAGUCUUUGGAUUCAUCGGGACCUGAAGAUCAUCAGCCUUUGAACAUGGAAGGAAAAAGCAUUGUUCACACUGGGAGGAAACUGUUGGAAAUGUGGGGACUGUGGGAAGGGAUUCAGUUACCCAUCCCAGCUGGAAAUUCAAUGGCGCAGUCACACUCAGGAGAGACCAUUCACCUGCUCUGAGUGUGGGAAGGGAUUCACUCGGUUGUCCCACCUAUUGACACAUUAGCGUGUUCACGCUGGGGAGAGGUCAUUCACCUGUUCCGAGUGUGGGAAAGGAUUUCCUGGUUUAUCCAGUCUGCUGAGACACCAGUGGGUUCACACUGAUGAGAAACCUUUUAAAUGCUCAGAAUGUGGGAAGUGCUUUAAAAGUUCUCAGGAACUGAUGUCCCAUCAUGUUCACACUAAUGAGAGAUCAUUCAGGUGCUCUCACUGUGGGAGCGGAUUCAAGGCCUCAUGUCACCUCAUUGUACACCUGCACCGUCACACUGGGGAGAGACCGUUCACCUGCUCCAAGUAUGGAAUGGCAUUCACCCGGUCUUUCAACCCUCUGACACACCAGCGAGUUCACACUGGAGAGAGGCCAUUCAUCUGCUCCGAGUGCGAAGGGAUUCAGUCAGUUAUCCACCCUGCAGAAACACCAGCGAAUUCACACUGGGGAGAAGCCAUUCACUGGUUCCGAGUGUGGGAUGCGAUUCAGUAGUUCAACCACCCUGCAGAUACACCAGCAACUUCACACUGAUGAGGGACCUUUUCAGUGCCCAGACUGCCAGAAGUGCUAAACAUUCUCAGGAAUUGAUGUCCCAUCAACGUGUUCACACUGACGAGAGACCGUUCAGGUGCUCUCACUGUGGGACCUCAAUGAACCACCCACACUGGGGAGAGGCCGUUCACCUGCUCCGAAUGUGGGAAGAGAUUCACUCAUUCAUCCAAUCUGCGGAGACACCAGCAAGUUCACACUGACGAGAGACCAUUUAAAUGCCCAGACUGCGGAAAGUGCUAGAAAAGUUCCAGGGAAUUGAUGUCUCAUCAAUGUGUUCACACUGACGAGAGACCAUUCAAGUGGUCUCAGUGUGAGACUGGGUUCAGGCAAUCAUCUCAACUCACUGUACACCAGCACAUUCAUACUGGGGAGAGACUGUUCACCUGCUUCGUGUGUGGGAAGGGAUUCACUCAGUCAUCCCACCUAUUGAGACACCAGAGAACUCACAAGAAACUAGAGAUUGGAUUUUGCUGUUGAUCAUAUCCAGGACUGAACCAUGUUCACUGGGGUCUGUUUCUGUUGAUGUUCAUUAAUGCCAUCCCAGUUUUAGGGUAUAACAUUCUGAAUAAAAGUCAAAUACAUCAGCUUUAUGUGAAA